UACAGAGGUGGCAAGCGUUGUUCGGAAUUACUGGGCGUAAAGGGCGCGUAGGCGGCCUUCUAAGUCAGACGUGAAAUCCCCCGGCUUAACCUGGGAACUGCGUCUGAUACUGGGAGGCUUGAGUAUGGGAGAGGGAUGUAGAAUUCCAGGUGUAGCGGUGAAAUGCGUAGAUAUCUGGAGGAACACCGGUGGCGAAGGCGGCAUCCUGGACCGGCAUUGACGCUGAGGAGCGAAAGCCAGGGGAGCAAACGGG
RNAcentral lists this ribosomal RNA (253 nucleotides) under uncultured bacterium. Its description in RNAcentral is "partial 16S ribosomal RNA". It matches the Rfam family "Bacterial small subunit ribosomal RNA", at positions 524 to 776 of the family's 1533-position model. The record is from RNAcentral.